RNAcentral lists this ribosomal RNA (503 nucleotides) under uncultured bacterium. RNAcentral describes it as "partial 16S ribosomal RNA". It matches the Rfam family "Bacterial small subunit ribosomal RNA", at positions 29 to 507 of the family's 1533-position model. The record is from RNAcentral.
AACGAACGCUGGCGGCGUGCCUAACACAUGCAAGUCGAUCGAGAAAGGGGCUUCGGCUCCGAGUAAAGUGGCGCACGGGUGAGUAACACGUGGGUAACCUGCCUCUAAGAUUGGGAUAACUCGUCGAAAGAUGAGCUAAUACCGAAUAAGACCACAGUUCCCGCGGGAACAGGGGUCAAAGGUAGCCUCUGCUUGCAAGCUAUCACUUAGAGAUGGGCCUGCGCACCAUUAGCUAGUUGGUAGGGUAACGGCCUACCAAGGCAAAGAUGGUUAGCUGGUCUGAGAGGAUGAUCAGCCACACUGGAACUGAGACACGGUCCAGACUCCUACGGGAGGCAGCAGUGGGGAAUAUUGCGCAAUGGGCGAAAGCUUGACGCAGCAACGCCGCGUGAGUGAUGAAGGCCUUCGGGUCGUAAAGCUCUGUCGGGAGGAACGAAUGCUCCUGAGGUUAACAGCCUCGGGAGGUGACGGUACCUUCAAAGGAAGCACCGGCUAACUCUGUG